This 555-nucleotide ribosomal RNA is filed under the name uncultured bacterium. Its description in RNAcentral is "partial 16S ribosomal RNA". It matches the Rfam family "Bacterial small subunit ribosomal RNA", at positions 355 to 902 of the family's 1533-position model. The record is from RNAcentral.
UGGGGAAUUUUGGACAAUGGGCGCAAGCCUGAUCCAGCAAUGCCGCGUGCAGGAUGAAGGCCUUCGGGUUGUAAACUGCUUUUGUACGGAACGAAAAGCCUCUCUCUAAUACAGGGGGUGAUGACGGUACCGUAAGAAUAAGCACCGGCUAACUACGUGCCAGCAGCCGCGGUAAUACGUAGGGUGCAAGCGUUAAUCGGAAUUACUGGGCGUAAAGCGUGCGCAGGCGGUUUUGUAAGACAGUGGUGAAAUCCCCGGGCUCAACCUGGGAACUGCCAUUGUGACUGCAAGGCUGGAGUGCGGCAGAGGGGGAUGGAAUUCCGCGUGUAGCAGUGAAAUGCGUAGAUAUGCGGAGGAACACCGAUGGCGAAGGCAAUCCCCUGGGCCUGCACUGACGCUCAUGCACGAAAGCGUGGGGAGCAAACAGGAUUAGAUACCCUGGUAGUCCACGCCCUAAAACGAUGUCAACUGGUUGUUGGGGAUUUAUUUCUUCAGUAACGAAGCUAACGCGUGAAGUUGACCGCCUGGGGAGUACGGCCGCAAGGUUAAAAACUC